Aethina tumida (small hive beetle) is the source of this 336-nucleotide long non-coding RNA. RefSeq lists it as uncharacterized. NCBI's taxonomy places the organism in Eukaryota, Metazoa, Arthropoda, Insecta, Coleoptera, Nitidulidae. The transcript has 2 exons. The record is from RefSeq and is a predicted model, not a curated record.
ACUAAAAAUAUACUUUUGAAAAGUAUAUAAAGGAUACUCGAAAUGGUCCAAGCAUAAGUCAAAAAGUGAAACAGAGUGAGCCAAAAAUGAAAUUUUCGUUAUUUUAUACCAUUGCUACCAUAUUCCUAUUCUACGUCGGUGGAAUUGGUGCUGCAGUUCGUUGGAGAGGCGGACAGUGGCGAAACCCAUUGUGGUCUGACAAUCAGCACAUUAGAAAUGUUGCACGACCAUCAUCUUGGUUGAAAAAUUAGUUAUCGCAUUUUAAUAAAAACCAAAAAGAGUUAUUAAUUUACACAUUCAUUAUUAAUGCUCUAAUAAAGCACACAAUAAAAUAAA